Molecule: long non-coding RNA, 1770 nt
Organism: Vicia villosa (hairy vetch)
Lineage: Eukaryota; Viridiplantae; Streptophyta; Magnoliopsida; Fabales; Fabaceae
Exons: 8
Source: RefSeq, a predicted model, not a curated record
GGGUUAAUUACUAUUCAUUUCUCAUUCUUUCACUAGCCUCCAUUAUCCUCACAAGUUAGGGUUUCCGCCUCCAUUCCUUUUUCAGUUCUAUGAUCUCUUUCUUCUUCUCUUUUUUUCUUGAACUAACGAUGUCGAUUUGAAUGUUUCAGGAUUAUAGUUACCGCCACCGUUGCGCUAUGAAGCCGCCGUCACUACAACCAUUACACAGUUUCCAUCAUCCUCACGACUCAAGCGCUUCCUCAUCCUCACUAAUCUCCUGAUGCAUAUUUGGAAGGAGAACAUACCCAUUAAUGAGGUUUUUGAGAAUCUGAGAUGUAGCAGAAGCAGAGGCUCACCAUUUUUGGACAAAACAAGCUUGAGGAGAAGAGAGAGAGUAAUCUGUUGAAAUUUUUGGGAUUUAUGUGGAAUCCUCUCUCUUGGGUUAUGGAGGUUGCUGCUAUAAUGGCUAUAGCUCUUGCAAAUGGAGGGGGCAAAGCUUAGGAUUGACAAGUCUUGCCCUGAAAGCUAAAGUCUUUAAUUUGAGGAGAACAAUGUUGGUAAUGCUGCUGCAGCUCUUAUGGCUAGUCUCGCCCCGAAAGCUAAGGUCUUUAAUUUGAUGUCAACAAGGUAUUUCCAAAUGGUUGAUAUAAUAUCAACAAGAUAAACAAGUUCUAUGGAAGCCAAAACAAGUAAUAGUCUUUAGGACUAGGCAAAAUGACAUUGGUCUUUAUGGAGCAAGGAGCUGCAUCAGAGAGAAAUGGAAGUAUAUAAAGACAAUCUGGCUAAAAUCAAGAUUUAUGGCAUUGAUGUAGAUGUUAAUUUCAAUGUCAGCAACAAUAGUGAAAAUAUAAAGCAGUUUUGACUCUAGAAACAUACUCCAUGAUUGUGUUUUUCAGGUAGGAAGUUUACAGUAGUAUGCAGUUUCUAAUUCAUUCAAAGAAUGGUGUUAGAUUCAAAUAUAUUUGAGAUAAUUUCAAAUUUGUAUUGGUUUUGAUUUUGUAUUAUGUUUUAUUAAUUUGUGAUUUUUGUAGGUAGGGAUUUACUUAAUUUUUUGGAUGAUUUAGUAUUCACGUUGAAAAUAUUUCACUGUAAAGGAUGAACUCAAAUGGCUCAAAAUAGCCUCCUUAGCAAAUAGUAAUUAGUAGUUUUUAAAUUCAAAUAAUUAAUGUUUUUGUUUAAUAUAAAAUCAGGUAAUUUUCUAUUUUUAAAAAUAAAUUAAAUUUAUAUUGGAUUGUAAUUGGGCUGAAAAUUUGAGUGGCCCAAAUAAGCUUGUUAAAAAAAAUUUAGAAAGUAGAAAAAAAAUCAAUUGAAGUUAUAAUUUGGUCUGAAUUUUUUUACUGGCCCAACAAAGAAAUCCGAAAUAAACCGGGCCUGGUACCCGAACCCGUUUCAACCCGAAUCCGAAAAAACCAACCAUUAAAUUGGUCGGAAUUGGACCCUUAAAUGUCAUCCGAGAGUUGGGCCGGAUUGAGGUUUUGGGCCCGAACCUGAACCAUCCCGAACCGAUGUCCACCCCUAUUAUGUAUAAUUUGUUAGGUUGUGGAAUUUGUCAAAGUUAGUCCUGUAUGAACAUGUGUCAUACAUUUUCUAAUGUUAGUUAAGAGUUAGGACCAACCCUUACUAGAAAUAUUGCUAUUAAUCUAUUAUUAAAAAUAAAAUUAAAAAAUGAAGUUAUACUUCUAAAGUGAAGUAUAUUUUUUUCACCAAACACACACCAGAUUGGUCGGGACUCGUGAACACAUGAGCUUGACUUAAGUAUGAUUCACAUCAAUAUCAUCAUCUUUUUUAAAA